RNAcentral lists this ribosomal RNA (468 nucleotides) under uncultured bacterium. RNAcentral describes it as "partial 16S ribosomal RNA". It matches the Rfam family "Bacterial small subunit ribosomal RNA", at positions 28 to 507 of the family's 1533-position model. The record is from RNAcentral.
GACGAACGCUGGCGGCGUGCUUAACACAUGCAAGUCGAACGGAAAGGCCCUGCUUUUGUGGGGUGCUCGAGUGGCGAACUGGUGAGUAACACGUGAGUAACCUGCCCUUGACUUUGGGAUAACUUCAGGAAACUGGGGCUAAUACCGGAUAGGAGCUCCUGAUGCAUGGUGGGGGUUGGAAAGUUUCGGCGGUUGGGGAUGGACUCGCGGCUUAUCCGCUUGUUGGUGGGGUAGUGGCUUACCAAGGCUUUGACGGGUAGCCGGCCUGAGAGGGUGACCGGCGACAUGGGGACUGAGAUACGGCCCAGACUCCUACGGGAGGCAGCAGUGGGGAAUAUUGCACAAUGGGGGGAAGCCUGAUGCAGCAACGCCGCGUGCGGGAUGACGGCCUUCGGGUUGUAAACCGCUUUCGCCGGUGACGAAGCGUGAGUGACGGUAAUGGGUAAAGAAGCACCGGCUAACUACGUG